Long non-coding RNA from Rhineura floridana, 1141 nucleotides. RefSeq lists it as uncharacterized. The record is from RefSeq and is a predicted model, not a curated record. NCBI's taxonomy places the organism in Eukaryota, Metazoa, Chordata, Lepidosauria, Squamata, Rhineuridae. The transcript is spliced from 3 exons.
CCCGCGCGUUCCGAUGGCCGCAGGCGCAGUUCCAUGCCACCAACUUGUUUGCCAUUGUGGCUUCUGGCGUCUAGACCAGGCGCGCCAGGUCUCCCUCGGCUCACUAGCCGCGCGCGCGCACUCUCCCUCGCAGCCUCCGCGCGCCCCUCGUCUAUCAGUCCCACCACACACACCCCGGCUAGGGGCGUCUACCCCACUCCCCCUUUCUUGUUCAGAAAAGCUAGUUCACCACAUAGCGGCCGCCAAACUUCUCCAGCAGCUCUUCGGAGAGAGGGAUGCUGAAGUGCAUCUUCAUAAUACCGGCGCGAGGAAGGCGGAAAGCCAGCCGCUUGUCAGGGCAAAUGGGAUAGGGCGGUCGCGGCAGCAUUUGUUUUCCCUACGUGAUGGAGACGAGGCUGUCUCCUCCCUCGCGAAGGAGGGAAGCGCCCACCGAGGCGAAGCAACAGCAGCAGGUCAGCUGUUGUCCUGAACAUCCACAGUGGCUCAUGCAGUCUGUGUAGACCUGUAAACCGGGAAAUGCAGAAUGCAACACUGGGUGUACAACUCAAUAUCAAAAGCAGAAAGUGACAAGCAUCCAAAAAGCCAAGAAUAAAAAAGGGGAAACGCCAAGAUGCUGGAAAAUGUGGUGUUUAUUUUCAAAAAAAGCCCAAAGGUUUUGGUCACUAUGUUGUCUGGCCUUCUUCAGGGGAUGGUCUGCAGUAUUGUUUUCUAGCAAAAUUGCUUGAAAUGAUAGACGACCACAAAAAAGAAUUCUCAUAAAAUAAAUACCAAAUUUUCCAGCAUCUUGGGGUUUCCUCUUUUUUAUUCUUGUACAACUCAGUAUAUGAAGAGGCUCAGGUUCGCUUAUUAAGAGAAACAAAGCUUCUAGCUCUUGUGACUGUGCAGAUAUGCUUCCAAAUUUAUGGGCAUUGCCUGGUGAAACCUCCAUGAUUAGAGAAGAGGCUCAGCAGGAUUUCCAACUGGCAGGAACCCACUAGAUCACAUAGCUCUGCUAUGUCUAUAACUGAAGCAACACAGUAUUGUUUUUAAUGGUGUUUUAUGUUUCAUCAUUGUACACACCACCCUGACAUUUUAUAUGGCAGUGGAUAGUAAAAAAUAAAAACACAUUUAAAAAAACAGAACAAAUGAUGAAAAUAAAGAA